RNAcentral lists this ribosomal RNA (273 nucleotides) under uncultured bacterium. RNAcentral describes it as "partial 16S ribosomal RNA". It matches the Rfam family "Bacterial small subunit ribosomal RNA", at positions 524 to 796 of the family's 1533-position model. The record is from RNAcentral.
UACGAAGGGGGCUAGCGUUGCUCGGAAUCACUGGGCGUAAAGCGCACGUAGGCGGCUUUUUAAGUCAGGGGUGAAAUCCUGGAGCUCAACUCCAGAACUGCCUUUGAUACUGAGAAGCUUGAGUCCGGGAGAGGUGAGUGGAACUGCGAGUGUAGAGGUGAAAUUCGUAGAUAUUCGCAAGAACACCAGUGGCGAAGGCGGCUCACUGGCCCGGUACUGACGCUGAGGUGCGAAAGCGUGGGGAGCAAACAGGAUUAGAAACCCCCGUAGUCC